CCUACGGGGUGCAGCAGUCGAGAAUCAUUCACAAUGGGGGAAACCCUGAUGGUGCGACGCCGCGUGGGGGAAUGAAGGUCUUCGGAUUGUAAACCCCUGUCAUGUGGGAGCAAAUUAAAAAGAUAGUACCACAAGAGGAAGAGACGGCUAAAUCUGUGCCAGCAGCCGCGGGAAUACAGAGGUCUCAAGCGUUGUUUGGAAUCACUGGGCGUAAAGCGUGCGUAGGCUGUUGCGUAAGUCGGGGGUGAAAGGCGCGGGCUCAACCCGAGGACGGCACAUGAUACUGCGAGACUAGAGUAAUGGAGGGGGAACCGGAAUUCUCGGUGUAGCAGUGACAUGCGUAGAUAUCGAGCGGAACACUCGUGGCGAAGGCGGGUUCCUGGACAUUAACUGACGCUGAGGCACGAAGGCCAGGGGAGCGAAAGGGAUUAGAUACCCGAGUAGUC
This 446-nucleotide ribosomal RNA is filed under the name uncultured bacterium. RNAcentral's name for it is "partial 16S ribosomal RNA". It matches the Rfam family "Bacterial small subunit ribosomal RNA", at positions 338 to 795 of the family's 1533-position model. The record is from RNAcentral.